UUCUUUAAAAUUAAAGAAUUUGGCGGUAUUUUAGUCUGUAAGAACCUGUUUUUUAAUCGAUAGUCCACGAUGAUUUAUACUUUUGUUUUUAAUUUGUAUAUCGUCGUUUAUAAAAAUUUUAUCAUAUAAUUUUUUCAGAUCAAGGUGCAGUUUAUAUAAAAGUUAAAAUGGGUUACAAUAAAAAUUUUAUUUAAAUUGGAUUUGACAGUAAGCUCUAAAAUAUGCACAUAUCGCCCGUCGCUUUCACUUUAAGGUGAAAUAAGUCGUAACAAAGUAGGCUUAUUGGAAAAUGAGCCUGGAAUGCAAAUUAGAGCUUGAUAAGCGUUUUAUUUACACUAAAAGGUUAAUUGUGAAAUUCAAUUUAAUUUGAACUUUUUCGGUUAUUAAAAUUUUUAUUUGGUUUGUUUUAUAAGAAGAAUAUUAUUUUUUAUUUUUUUUUUGAAAAAAUUUUAUUAUAGUAGAAUGUACUGUGAAGGAUUUAUGUUUUGUUUUUAAAAGAAGAUUUAAUUUAUUGUACCUUGUGUGUCAGGGUUUAUUAAUUUUUUCUUCCCGAAUUCAGAAGAGCUAUUUUUAAUGUAGAAUAAUUAUUUUAAAUAUGUUUAUAGAAAUGAAACGUUAUUCGUUUCUGAAUAUAUCUGGUUUUUCUAGAAAUUAAUUUAAUUUAUUUGCAUAUAGUAAUUUUUUUGGGGAUAAGCUUGUUUGUAAAUUUUUAAAAGGUUUUUUGAUGAUAUUUUAUAUAGGAUUAGAAUUUUCCAUUAUUUUAAGUAUGUUAUAUUUUAGGUCUUUAAUUUUUUAUAGAAAUUUAUUUUUUAAUUUUAUUUUUUUAGUAAUAAUGAUAUAAUUAGUAAGGUAGUAUAAAGGAAUUCGGCAAUUCAAAUUUCCACCUGUUUAUUAAAAACAUGUCCUUUUGAUUAUGAUUUAAGGUCUGACCUGCCCAAUGAUUAAAUGGCCGCAGUAUUCUGACUGUGCAAAGGUAGCAUAAUCAUUAGUUUCUUAAUUAGAAGCUGGAAUGAAUGGUUUGAUGAGAAAUUAGCUGUCUCUAGAAUUUUAUUUUUGAGUUAAAAAGCUCAAAUUUUAUAUAAAGACGAGAAGACCCUAUAGAGUUUUGUUGGGGUGAUGAAUAAAUUUAUUAAACUUUAUUUUUUUUUGGUUUUUUGAUCCUGGAUUAUAAGAAUAAAUUACCUUAGGGAUAACAGCGUAAUUUUUUCUGAAAGUUCUUAUUG
RNAcentral lists this ribosomal RNA (1223 nucleotides) under Taxes sp. NLG-2012. Its description in RNAcentral is "partial 16S ribosomal RNA". The record is from RNAcentral. Lineage: Eukaryota; Metazoa; Arthropoda; Insecta; Coleoptera; Tenebrionidae.